UUGCUUUUCUGCUAUUGUAGAUGGCAAUUUUGGUGUAUUUCCUUGCUGAAACCUGCCAAACAGUGAUUGUUGCUUCGGCUGUUUAUCUUGCACGUUGUACCCUCAGCAAGAGAGCCCUUAUGAACCAAAAUACUGAGUACUCUCGGAGAAUCAACUAAGGUAAUAUAUUCUUAUGUAUGGAGUUUCAACUAACCUUAGAUAUAAUUACUAGAAUUUGGAGCGACUCAUUCUAGUAAAAUUAAAUUAUUAAAUGUGAUGAUAAUAAGAACAUAGUAAAAUCUCAUUAUUGUUCUGUUCCUUGGGUGUGCAUCAUUUCUUUUAGGUGUAUUUCCUUGCUGAAACCUGCCAAACAGUGAUUGUUGCUUCGGCUGUUUAUCUUGCACGUUGUACCCUCAACAAGAGAGCCCUUAUGAACCAAAAUACUGAGUACUCUCGUAGAAUCAACUAAGGUAAUAUAUUCUUAUGUAUGGAGUUUCAACUAACCUUAGAUAUAAUUACUAGAAUUUGGAGCGACUCAUUCUAGUAAAAUUAAAUUAUUAAAUGUGAUGAUAAUAAGAACAUUGAUGAGGAUUUAUUUAUUUUUUCCUGUUAGUAAAAUCUCAUUAUUGUUUUGUUCCUUGGGUGUGCAUCAUUUCUUUUAGUAAAUGCUGUCCUCUUACUUUGGAUUCUUGUAUGGGAAAUUGUUAACUUCUGAUUUCAUUUCAGUCCGAUACUUUAUUAGAAAGUAUUGGAUGUUUGUGUUGAUUACAGGUCAAAAGUCUCUUUUUAUAUAUUAUGAAGUUUUCAGUUUUUAAGGUUCAACUUGAAUUAACAAAUUUUUUUUAAAGUCCCAAAUUGAUAUGUAUUGCUUUUCUGCUAUUGUAGAUGGCUAUUUUGGUGUAUUUCCUUGCUGAAACCUGCCAAACAGUGAUUGUUGCUUCGGCUGUUUAUCUUGCACGAUGUACCCUCAACAAGAGAGCCCUUAUGAACCAAAAUACUGAGUACUCUCGGAGAAUCAACUAAGGUAAUAUAUUCUUUUGUAUGGAGUUUCAACUAACCUUGGACAUAAUUAGUAGAAUUUGGAGCGACUCAUUUUUGUAAAAUGAAAUUAUUAAAUGUGAUGAUAAUAAGAACAUUGAUGAGGAUUUAUUUAUUUUUCCUGUUAGUAAAAUCUCAUUAUUGUUCUGUUCCUUGGGUGUGCAUCAUUUCUUUUAGUAAAUGUUGUCCUCUUACUUUGGAUUCUUGUAUGGGAAAUUGUUGACCUCUGAUUUCAUUUCAGUCCGAUACUUUAUAAGAAAGUAUUGGAUGUUUGUGUUGAUUACAGGUAGAAAGUCUUUUUUUUGUUGACAUUUAUAAUAUUACCUAGCUUACAUCAAUUUAAUGGAGAAAUUGAGUUUUCCAUUAUUUUUUCUUGAAAUCUUUAAAGGUGUUAAUAGUUCGCACACCAUAAAUAAUCUCUUUAUAUAUAUGAAGUUUUUAGUUUUUAAGGUUCAACUUGAAUAAGCAAAUUUUUUUAAAAGUCCCAAAUUGAUAUGUAUUGCUUUUCUGCUAUUGUAGAUGGCAAUUUUGGUGUAUUUCCUUGCUGAAACUUGCCAAACAGUGAUUGUUUCUUCGGCUGUUUAUCUUGCACGUUGUACCCUCAACAAGAGAGCCCUUAUGAACUAAAAUACUGAGUACUCUCGGAGAAUCAACUAAGGUAAUAUAUUCUUUUGUAUGGAGUUUCAACUAAGCUCAGAUAUAAUUACUAGAAUUUGGAGCAACUCAUUUUAGUAAAAUGAAAUUAUUAAAUGUGAUGAUAAUAAGAACAUUGAUGAGGAUUUAUUUAUUUUUCCUGCUAGUAAAAUCUCAUUAUUGUUCUGUUCCUUGGGUGUGCAUCAUUUCUUUUAGUAAAUGCUGUCCUCUUACUUUGGAUUCUUGUAUGGGAAAUUGUUGACUUCUGAUUUCAUUUCAGUUUGAUACUUUAUAAGAAAGUAUUGGAUGUUUGUGUUGAUUAUAGGUAGAAAGUCUUUUUUUUUGUUGACAAUUAUAAUAUUGCCUUGCUUACAUCAAUUUAAUGGAGAAAUUGAGUUUUCCAUCAUUUUUUCUUGAAAUCUUGAAAGGUUUUAACAGUUCGCACACCAUAAAUAAUCUCUUUUUAUAUAUGAAGUUUUCAGUUUUUAAGGUUCAACUUGAAUAAACAAUUUUUUUUAAAAGUCCCAAAUUGAUAUGUAUUGCUUUUCUGCUAUUGUAGAUGGCAAUUUUGGUGUAUUUCCUUGCUGAAACCUGCCAAACAGUGAUUGUUGCUUCGGCUGUUUAUCUUGCACGUUGUACCCUCAACAAGAGAGCCCUUAUGAACCAAAAUACUGAGUACUCUCGGAGAAUCAACUAAG
This 2348-nucleotide long non-coding RNA is filed under the name Panax ginseng (ginseng). RNAcentral describes it as "long non-coding RNA (PGIN_LNC016701)". The record is from RNAcentral. Lineage: Eukaryota; Viridiplantae; Streptophyta; Magnoliopsida; Apiales; Araliaceae.